UGGUGCUUGCACCUGAUUGAUUUUGGUCGCCAACGAGUGGCGGACGGGUGAGUAACACGUAGGUAACCUGCCCAGAAGCGGGGGACAACAUUUGGAAACAGAUGCUAAUACCGCAUAACAACGUUGUUCGCAUGAACAACGCUUAAAAGAUGGCUUCUCGCUAUCACUUCUGGAUGGACCUGCGGUGCAUUAGCUUGUUGGUGGGGUAACGGCCUACCAAGGCGAUGAUGCAUAGCCGAGUUGAGAGACUGAUCGGCCACAAUGGGACUGAGACACGGCCCAUACUCCUACGGGAGGCAGCAGUAGGGAAUCUUCCACAAUGGGCGCAAGCCUGAUGGAGCAACACCGCGUGAGUGAAGAAGGGUUUCGGCUCGUAAAGCUCUGUUGUUAAAGAAGAACACGUAUGAGAGUAACUGUUCAUACGUUGACGGUAUUUAACCAGAAAGUCACGGCUAACUACGUGCCAGCAGCCGCGGUAAUACGUAGGUGGCAAGCGUUAUC
This 501-nucleotide ribosomal RNA is filed under the name Limosilactobacillus fermentum. Its description in RNAcentral is "bacterial SSU rRNA". It matches the Rfam family "Bacterial small subunit ribosomal RNA", at positions 49 to 545 of the family's 1533-position model. Lineage: Bacteria; Bacillati; Bacillota; Bacilli; Lactobacillales; Lactobacillaceae. The record is from RNAcentral.